Long non-coding RNA from Melanotaenia boesemani (Boeseman's rainbowfish), 498 nucleotides. RefSeq lists it as uncharacterized. Lineage: Eukaryota; Metazoa; Chordata; Actinopteri; Atheriniformes; Melanotaeniidae. The record is from RefSeq and is a predicted model, not a curated record. The transcript is spliced from 3 exons.
UUUAUUAAAAUUACACAUGAUGUCACUCAAUGAAACAGUAAUGUUAUUGAUCAUGUUGGACCUUUAGAACAUGUUUUCAGUUGGAGGAUUACAGGAAGUGAUCGGAGCAACAGGUGAGUAAUGUCCAGAACUUUUCCUCCCGUGUUAAAGACAUGUUGAAGACAUGUUGAAGAUCUGUUGGAGAUGUGUUGGAGACGUGCUGCAGAUGUGGAGACAGUUGAAGACGUGUUGGAGACGUGCUGGAGAAGUGUUGAAGAUGUGUUGGAGACGUGUUGGAGACGUGUUGAAGCUGUGUUGGAGACGUGUUGAAGACAUGUUGGUGACAUGUUGAAGAUGUGUUGAAGACGUGUUGGAGACGUAUCGCAGAUGUGGAGACGUGUUGAAGACGUGCUGGAGACGUGUUGCAGAUGUGGAGACAUGUUAAAGACAUGUUUAAGACGUGUUGGAAACGUGUUGCAGAUGUGAAGACAUGUUGAAGACGUGUUGGAGACCUGUUGG